Molecule: small nucleolar RNA, 68 nt
Organism: Delphinapterus leucas (beluga whale)
Lineage: Eukaryota; Metazoa; Chordata; Mammalia; Artiodactyla; Monodontidae
Source: Ensembl
CUGCCGAUGAUGGUUAUGAAUUUCUUCACCUGAAUAAACCAUGUUGUCAUGUUGUCGUCUGAGGCAGG